AGUGAACGCUGGCGGUAGGCCUAACACAUGCAAGUCGAACGGCAGCACAGUAAGAGCUUGCUCUUACGGGUGGCGAGUGGCGUACGGGUGAGGAAUACAUCGGGAUCUACUUUUUCGUGGGGGAUAACGUAGGGAAACUUACGCUAAUACCGCAUACGACCUACGGGUGAAAGCAGGGGAACUUCGGACAUUGCGAGAUUGAAUGACCCGAUGCCGGAUUAGCUAGUUGGCGGGGUAAAGGCCCACCAAGGCGACGAUCCGUAGCUGGUCUGAGAGGGAGAUCAGCCACACUGGAACUGAGACACGAUCCAGACUCCUACGCUAGGCAGCAGUGGGGAAUAUUGGACAAUGGGCGCAAGCCUGAUCCAGCCAUACCGCGUGAGUGAAGAAGGCCUUCGGCUUGUAAAGCCCUUUUGUUGGGAAAGAAAAGCAGCAGGUUAAUACCCCGCUGUUCUGACGGUACCCAAAGAAUAAGCACCGGCUAACUUCGUG
RNAcentral lists this ribosomal RNA (492 nucleotides) under uncultured bacterium. Its description in RNAcentral is "partial 16S ribosomal RNA". It matches the Rfam family "Bacterial small subunit ribosomal RNA", at positions 29 to 507 of the family's 1533-position model. The record is from RNAcentral.